RNAcentral lists this ribosomal RNA (253 nucleotides) under uncultured bacterium. RNAcentral describes it as "partial 16S ribosomal RNA". It matches the Rfam family "Bacterial small subunit ribosomal RNA", at positions 524 to 776 of the family's 1533-position model. The record is from RNAcentral.
UACGGGGGGGGCAAGCGUUGUUCGGAAUUACUGGGCGUAAAGGGCUCGUAGGCGGCCAACUAAGUCGGACGUGAAAUCCCUCGGCUUAACCGGGGAACUGCAUCCGAUACUGGAUGGCUUGAGUUCGGGAGAGGGAUGCAGAAUUCCCGGUGUAGCGGUGAAAUGCGCAGAUAUCGGGAGGAACACCAAUGGCGAAGGCAGCUCGCUGGGACGUUACUGACGCUGAGACGCGAAAGCGUGGGGAGCAAACAGG